AGAGUUUGAUCCUGGCUCAGGACGAACGCUGGCGGCGCGCUUAACACAUGCAAGUCGAGCGAGAACCAGGGCUUCGGCCCUGGGGAAAGCGGCGAACGGGUGAGUAACACGUGAGUAACCUGCCCUCGGCACCGGGAUAGCCCGGGGAAACCCGGAUUAAUACCGGAUGGCCUUUCGAGUCUUCGGGCUCGUCAGAAAAGGUAGCUUCGGCCUCCGGCCGAGGAGGGACUCGCGGCGGAUUAGCUUGUUGGUGGGGUAACGGCUCACCAAGGCGACGAUCCGUAGCUGGUCUGAGAGGACGAUCAGCCACACUGGGACUGAGACACGGCCCAGACUCCUACGGGAGGCAGCAGUGGGGAAUCUUGCCCAAUGGGCGCAAGCCUGAGGCAGCGACGCCGCGUGGGGGAAGAAGGCCUUCGGGUUGUAAACCCCUUUCAGGAGGGACGAAGCCACUCGGGUGAAUAGCCCAGAGGGUGACGGUACCUCCAGAAGAAGCCCCGGCUAACUACGUGCCAGCAGCCGCGGUAAUACGUAGGGGGCAAGCGUUGUCCGGAUUUAUUGGGCGUAAAAGAGCGUGUAGGCGGCCAGACAGGUCCGUUGUGAAAACUCGAGGCUCAACCUCGAGACGUCGAUGGAAACCGUCUGGCUAGAGUCCGGAAGAGGAGUGUGGAAUUCCUG
This 678-nucleotide ribosomal RNA is filed under the name uncultured Actinomycetes bacterium. RNAcentral describes it as "bacterial SSU rRNA". It matches the Rfam family "Bacterial small subunit ribosomal RNA", at positions 8 to 672 of the family's 1533-position model. Lineage: Bacteria; Bacillati; Actinomycetota; Actinomycetes. The record is from RNAcentral.